This 253-nucleotide ribosomal RNA is filed under the name uncultured bacterium. Its description in RNAcentral is "partial 16S ribosomal RNA". It matches the Rfam family "Bacterial small subunit ribosomal RNA", at positions 524 to 776 of the family's 1533-position model. The record is from RNAcentral.
UACGGAGGGGGCUAGCGUUGUUCGGAAUUACUGGGCGUAAAGCACGCGUAGGCGGCUUUGUAAGUUAGAGGUGAAAGCCCGGAGCUCAACUCCGGAAUUGCCUUUAAGACUGCAUCGCUUGAAUCAUGGAGAGGUGAGUGGAAUUCCGAGUGUAGAGGUGAAAUUCGUAGAUAUUCGGAAGAACACCAGUGGCGAAGGCGACUCACUGGACAUGUAUUGACGCUGAGGUACGAAAGCGUGGGGAGCAAACAGG